GAUGAGAAUGACAAAGAGCUCAACCGAUGCUAGUCCCUUGACUUCAAAGAUGUGGAGCUCUGUGGUGCUGAAGCAGAACAAAAGACACGCUCUUAAAAGCUCUGCCAAAUUUAGAGUUUUUGCCCUACAGUCUGACAAUGGCACCGUGAACAGAGUGGAACAGCUGCUAAACUUGGACGUAACUCCAUACACUGAUAAGAUCAUUGCUGAAUAUAUUUGGAUCGGAGGGACUGGAAUUGAC
This 241-nucleotide unclassified non-coding RNA is filed under the name Hevea brasiliensis (rubber tree). The record is from RNAcentral. Lineage: Eukaryota; Viridiplantae; Streptophyta; Magnoliopsida; Malpighiales; Euphorbiaceae.